Trifolium pratense (red clover) is the source of this 1159-nucleotide RNA transcript. It is a transcript of the gene named two-component response regulator ARR14-like, with no coding region annotated. The transcript is spliced from 5 exons. Lineage: Eukaryota; Viridiplantae; Streptophyta; Magnoliopsida; Fabales; Fabaceae. The record is from RefSeq and is a predicted model, not a curated record.
CUAUUUCUCUUUCCACUUUGCCGACCCAUCUCAAAAAUUCAUUCUUUCUCAAAAAUUCAUCCAUUCUCACAAAUUUAUUCAUUCAUUUCAAAUUCAAUGACUUAUUUCACUAACAAUCCAUCCUUCCUGGUUGGUCUCAAAGUUCUUGCAGUUGAUCACGACAUCGGUGCUCUCUGCACUAUACGGGACAUAUGCAAUGGCUUGUGCUAUCAAGUGAUCACUUGUUGCACUAUUUCUGAUGCAAGGAAUUACUUGUUCAACCAAAACUUUGAUAUCAUUCUUAUUGAAGCUAAUAUGCCAAGCAAUGAUACUUUUGAUUUUGUUGGACAAAUUACUUCACAUUUUCCUGUCAUCAUGAUGUCUCUUGAUCCCACGCCUUCUUCCGUUAUGGAUUCUAUUACCCAAGGGGCUUGCGCAUUCUGGUCCAAGCCCUUGGAUGAGAACCAAUUUAAGAUCAUGUGGCAACAUCUUGUACGGAAGGCUUUGAGCGAAACUCCUGAACUUCCUCAAACCUUGGAGGUUAAAGGUGGAAAAAAACGAGGAAGAGAAGAUGUUGAUUUACCAAAACAACCGCUUCCAAAGAAAAGCCGUUUGUCAUGGACACCCGACUUGGACAAACAAUUCUUAUCGGCUGUGAAUCAACUCGGGGUUAAUAGUAUUAAUGCAACACCCAAAAAAAUUCUUAAGCUGAUGAACUUUCCAGAUUUGACAGCAGGGCAAGUAGCUAGCCAUUUACAGGUUUGCCUUAGUUUUAAUUUCUUUGUUUUUCCUUAAGUGGAUGAACUUAUGUGUUUUAAUGUUUGUUAGUGUUUUGCUUGACUUGAAAUUAACAUUGUUAUUCCAAUGUUGUUUGUUUUGCAUAAAUAUAGGAAGUAUUUAAAAGGGGAAAUAAAAAAAUCAAAGUUCAGUAGGCUAUCUGCUUUUCAAGGUCAUGAUGAAAUUCCUACACAAGAACAACAUUUGACGGAAAUUGGUGAAUGCGACAUUUUUUUUGACCUGUCUGAAUUGUUCCCAGAUCUUGUCGAUAACUUGUAAAAUGUUAUGUCGUGACUAUUUCUGCCUGAAGUAGAAAUGAAGGCAGAGAAGGACAAGAAUAGAAGUCCACAUUAGCAACCUAUGUUCUUAUCUUUAUCAUUUGUUUUACAUUGUCUUAAUGUAA